AUUGAACGCUGGCGGCAGGCCUAACACAUGCAAGUCGAGCGGCAGCGACAWCAWYRAYCCUUCGGGUGAUUUGUUGGGCGGCGAGCGGCGGACGGGUGAGUAAUGCCUGGGAACAUGCCUUAGUGUGGGGGAUAACCAUUGGAAACGAUGGCUAAUACCGCAUAAUSUCUWCGGASCAAAGCGGGGGACCUUCGGGCCUCGCGCGCUAAGAUUGGCCCAGGUGGGAUUAGCUAGUAGGUGGGGUAACGGCUCACCUAGGCGACGAUCCCUAGCUGGUCUGAGAGGAUGAUCAGCCACACUGGAACUGAGACACGGUCCAGACUCCUACGGGAGGCAGCAGUGGGGAAUAUUGCACAAUGGGGGACACCCUGAUGCAGCCAUGCCGCGUGUGUGAAGAAGGCCUUCGGGUUGUAAAGCACUUUCAGCAGUGAGGA
RNAcentral lists this ribosomal RNA (434 nucleotides) under Photobacterium sp. S145. Its description in RNAcentral is "bacterial SSU rRNA". It matches the Rfam family "Bacterial small subunit ribosomal RNA", at positions 30 to 448 of the family's 1533-position model. Lineage: Bacteria; Pseudomonadati; Pseudomonadota; Gammaproteobacteria; Vibrionales; Vibrionaceae. The record is from RNAcentral.